Molecule: ribosomal RNA, 1341 nt
Filed under: uncultured bacterium
Lineage: Bacteria
Description: bacterial SSU rRNA
Rfam family: Bacterial small subunit ribosomal RNA
Source: RNAcentral
GACGAACGCUGGCGGCGUGCUUAACACAUGCAAGUCGAACGGUAAGGCCCCUUCGGGGGUACACGAGUGGCGAACGGGUGAGUAACACGUGAGCAACCUGCCCUUGACUCUGGGAUAACAGUUGGAAACAGCUGCUAAUACCGGAUACGACCCUGGACGACAUCAUCUAGGGUGGAAAGCGCUUUAGCGGUCAAGGAUGGGCUCGCGGCCUAUCAGCUUGUUGGUGAGGUAACGGCUCACCAAGGCUUCGACGGGUAGCCGGCCUGAGAGGGCGACCGGCCACACUGGGACUGAGAUACGGCCCAGACUCCUACGGGAGGCAGCAGUGGGGAAUAUUGCACAAUGGGCGCAAGCCUGAUGCAGCAACGCCGCGUGCGGGAUGACGGCCUUCGGGUUGUAAACCGCUUUCAGUUCCGACGAAGCGCAAGUGACGGUAGGAACAGAAGAAGGACCGGCCAACUACGUGCCAGCAGCCGCGGUGAUACGUACGGUCCGAGCGUUGUCCGGAAUUAUUGGGCGUAAAGGGCUUGUACGCGGUUUGUUGCGUCNGAAGUGAAAACUCAGGGCUUAACCCUGAGCCUGCUUCCGAUACGGGCAAACUAGAGGGAUGCAGGGGAGAAUGGAAUUCCUGGUGGAGCGGUGGAAUGCGCAGAUAUCAGGAGGAACACCGGUGGGCGAAUGCCGUUCUCUGGGCCUUUCCUGACCCUGAAAAACGAAAGCGUGGGGAGCAGACAGGCUUAGAUACCCUGGUAGUCCACGCGGUAAACGGUGGGCACUAGGUGUGGGGAACAUUCCACGUUCUCCGUGCCGAAGCUAACGCAUUAAGUGCCCCGCCUGGGGAGUACGGCCGCAAGGCUAAAACUCAAAGGAAUUGACGGGGGCCCGCACAAGCGGCGGAGCAUGCGGAUUAAUUCGAUGCAACGCGAAGAACCUUACCUGGGUUUGACAUAUGCCGGAAAGCUGCAGAGAUGUAGCCCCCGCAAGGUCGGUAUACAGGUGGUGCAUGGCUGUCGUCAGCUCGUGUCGUGAGAUGUUGGGUUAAGUCCCGCAACGAGCGCAACCCUCGUCCUAUGUUGCCAGCGGAUAAUGCCGGGGACUCAUAGGAGACUGCCGGGGUCAACUCGGAGGAAGGUGGGGAUGACGUCAAGUCAUCAUGCCCCUUAAGUCCAGGGCUUCACGCAUGCUACAAUGGCUGGUACAAAGGGCUGCAAAACCGCAAGGUCGAGCGAAUCCCAAAAAGCCAGUCUCAGUUCGGAUUGGGGUCUGCAACUCGACCCCAUGAAGUCGGAGUCGCUAGUAAUCGCAGAUCAGCAACGCUGCGGUGAAUACGUUCCCGGGCCU